Molecule: ribosomal RNA, 402 nt
Filed under: Bacteroidota bacterium
Lineage: Bacteria; Pseudomonadati; Bacteroidota
Description: Bacteroidetes bacterium partial 16S ribosomal RNA
Rfam family: Bacterial small subunit ribosomal RNA
Source: RNAcentral
UGGGGAAUUUUGCACAAUGGGGGAAACCCUGAUGCAGCGACGCCGCGUGAUUUAGAAGGCCUUCGGGUUGUAAAAAUCUUUUCUAUGGGAAGAAAAGGACAGUACCAUAGGAAUAAGGACCGGCUAAUUACGUGCCAUCAGCCGCGGCAAUACGUAAGGUCCGAGCGUUGUCCGGAAUCAUUGGGCGUAAAGGGUACGUAGGCGGGUAAGCAAGUUAGAAGUGAAAUCCUGUAGCUCAACUACAGUAAGCUUUUAAAACUGCUCAUCUUGAGAUAUGGAAGGGAAAGUGGAAUUCCUAGAGUAGCGGUGAAAUGCGCAGAUAUUAGGAGGACUACCGGUGGCGAAGGCGACUUUCUGGCCAUAAUCUGACGCGGAGGUACGAAAGCGUGGGUAGCAAACAGG